UGAGAAGCUGAUGUGAAGCGUAGAGAGGUCAGGCUUCCACGGUUCCCUUCCCAGCCCCCUCUGCUGCUCUGAAAUUGACGUGAGUACGGCAGACCUGGAGGGAGAACCUCCCCGCUCACCCCACCACCGCCCCCCCACGCCCCCUCCACCACGCCCUCUUGACACUGCGCCUGCGCACUCAGGAGGUCCGCCAUCCCAUGUGGCUCUGGGGCGGGGCGUGUGGCUGAGUAGGAGGGCCGGAAACCUGCGCCCAGCAUUCUGCGCAUGCUCAUGUGAGCCUACCAUUUCCCACACGCCACCGGGGCAGCGUGGGCAGGAAGAGCACACGUGCCAAGAUGGAGGGCUCUGAACCUCGGGGUGUCAAAAAGUUAGGAAACUGCUGAAUUAUAACCUUGGACCAUAAAGGGAAACACCUCUCACAUUGACAGAAUCUACCAGGAGAACCAUCUACAACUCUACAUUGUGUUGUCAUCUCACAGAUCUCUUCAUUCACAGUUCAUUUUCCAAGUUACCUUUAGAAGCGAAGACAUUUGCUGGUUAGAAAAGGGCAAAGA
Chinchilla lanigera (long-tailed chinchilla) is the source of this 554-nucleotide long non-coding RNA. RefSeq lists it as uncharacterized. The transcript is spliced from 2 exons. The record is from RefSeq and is a predicted model, not a curated record. Lineage: Eukaryota; Metazoa; Chordata; Mammalia; Rodentia; Chinchillidae.